Molecule: ribosomal RNA, 484 nt
Filed under: uncultured bacterium
Lineage: Bacteria
Description: partial 16S ribosomal RNA
Rfam family: Bacterial small subunit ribosomal RNA
Source: RNAcentral
GACGAACGCUGGCGGCGUGCUUAACACAUGCAAGUCGAACGAUGAAGCCGGAGCUUGCUCUGGUGAAUUAGUGGCGAACGGGUGAGUAACACGUGAGUAACCUGCCCUUGACUCUGGGAUAACUGCUAGAAAUGGUAGCUAAUACCGGAUACGACCCUCGGAGGCAUCUCCAGGGGGUGGAAAGAAUUUCGGUCAAGGAUGGACUCGCGGCCUAUCAGCUAGUUGGUGAGGUAAUGGCUCACCAAGGCGACGACGGGUAGCCGGCCUGAGAGGGUGACCGGCCACACUGGGACUGAGACACGGCCCAGACUCCUACGGGAGGCAGCAGUGGGGAAUAUUGCACAAUGGGCGCAAGCCUGAUGCAGCAACGCCGCGUGAGGGAUGACGGCCUUCGGGUUGUAAACCUCUUUUAGUAGGGAAGAAGCGAAAGUGACGGUACCUGCAGAAAAAGCACCGGCUAACCACGUGCCAGCCGCCGCUGUAA